Molecule: ribosomal RNA, 253 nt
Filed under: uncultured bacterium
Lineage: Bacteria
Description: partial 16S ribosomal RNA
Rfam family: Bacterial small subunit ribosomal RNA
Source: RNAcentral
UACGUAGGGGGCGAGCGUUGUCCGGAUUUAUUGGGCGUAAAGAGCGUGUAGGCGGCCAGGUAGGUCCGCUGUGAAAGUCCGAGGCUCAACCUCGGAAUGUCGGCGGAAACCCUCUGGCUAGAGUCCGGAAGAGGAGAGUGGAAUUCCCGGUGUAGCGGUGAAAUGCGCAGAUAUCGGGAAGAACACCCGUGGCGAAGGCGGCUCUCUGGAACGGUACUGACGCUGAGACGCGAAAGCGUGGGGAGCAAACAGG